GAUGAACGCUGGCGGCGUGCUUAACACAUGCAAGUCGAACGGUGAACACGGAGCUUGCUCUGUGGGAUCAGUGGCGAACGGGUGAGUAACACGUGAGCAACCUGCCCCUGACUCUGGGAUAAGCGCUGGAAACGGCGUCUAAUACUGGAUAUGUGACGUGACCGCAUGGUCUGCGUUUGGAAAGAUUUUUCGGUUGGGGAUGGGCUCGCGGCCUAUCAGCUUGUUGGUGAGGUAAUGGCUCACCAAGGCGUCGACGAGUAGCCGGCCUGAGAGGGUGACCGGCCACACUGGGACUGAGACACGGCCCAGACUCCUACGGGAGGCAGCAGUGGGGAAUAUUGCACAAUGGGCGCAAGCCUGAUGCAGCAACGCCGCGUGAGGGAUGACGGCCUUCGGGUUGUAAACCUCUUUUAGCAGGGAAGAAGCGAAAGUGACGGUACCUGCAGAAAAAGCGCCGGCUAACUACGUG
Molecule: ribosomal RNA, 469 nt
Filed under: uncultured bacterium
Lineage: Bacteria
Description: partial 16S ribosomal RNA
Rfam family: Bacterial small subunit ribosomal RNA
Source: RNAcentral